This is a long non-coding RNA of Etheostoma spectabile (orangethroat darter), 155 nucleotides long. RefSeq lists it as uncharacterized. The record is from RefSeq and is a predicted model, not a curated record. NCBI's taxonomy places the organism in Eukaryota, Metazoa, Chordata, Actinopteri, Perciformes, Percidae. The transcript is spliced from 3 exons.
GCAGAUUGGCUGAUUGGCUGAUGCAGAGCGGAGUGGGCGGGUUGGAGUAUAAGGUUUGACCAUGUCCUGGAUGUAAGCUGGGGCUGAUCCGUUCAUGGCCCUGUAUGCAAGUACUAGUGUCUUGAAUAUUAGAAAAGUAAUGUUAGAGCACACUC